This 504-nucleotide ribosomal RNA is filed under the name uncultured bacterium. RNAcentral describes it as "partial 16S ribosomal RNA". It matches the Rfam family "Bacterial small subunit ribosomal RNA", at positions 28 to 507 of the family's 1533-position model. The record is from RNAcentral.
GACGAACGCUGGCGGCGUGCUUAACACAUGCAAGUCGAACGGUGAAGCGCUUGCCUUUUUGGUGGGUGUGGAUGAGUGGCGAACGGGUGAGUAACACGUGAGUAACCUGCCCUCUUCUUCUGGAUAACCUCAUGAAAGUGGGGCUAAUACGGGGUAUUCCGGGUCUGUCGCAUGGCGGGUUUGGGAAAGAUUGCGCCUUUGGGGGUUUUCGGUGGGGGAUGGGCUCGCGGCCUAUCAGCUUGUUGGUGGGGUGAUGGCCUACCAAGGCGGUGACGGGUAGCCGGCCUGAGAGGGUGGACGGCCACACUGGGACUGAGACACGGCCCAGACUCCUGCGGGAGGCAGCAGUGGGGAAUAUUGCACAAUGGGCGCAAGCCUGAUGCAGCGACGCCGCGUGAGGGAUGGAGGCCUUCGGGUUGUGAUCCUCUUUCGCCAGUGAAGCAGGCCUGCUCCUGUGUGGGUGGGUUGACGGUAGCUGGAUAAGAAGCGCCGGCUAACUACGUG